RNAcentral lists this long non-coding RNA (303 nucleotides) under Phascolarctos cinereus (koala). Its description in RNAcentral is "lncRNA (ENSPCIG00000012787.2)". Lineage: Eukaryota; Metazoa; Chordata; Mammalia; Diprotodontia; Phascolarctidae. The record is from RNAcentral.
UAAAAAUGGUACCAUAUGUACGUUCUUUGCAGUCCUGGAAAAAGCAAUGAAAGUUGAAGAGAUUAAAAUUAAACUAAUUGAUAGGAUCAAAAGAGAAUUGGAGGCACCAAUAUCAAUUCCACUGGAUUCAAUCGCAUCCGCAAUGCUGAUGGUAAACGUGUCACCUCCGGAAGGAGAGUGUGACCUUACUUUAAAGAAUCCUACGUGCAUAAAUGAAGCAACUGUACCUGGUAUGGGAAUUUUAUUUAAUUACCAUCAAAAAACCGUGAAUUUCACCUCCAAAGGCCUUCUGGUUGCCUACUG